Molecule: unclassified non-coding RNA, 929 nt
Filed under: Hevea brasiliensis (rubber tree)
Lineage: Eukaryota; Viridiplantae; Streptophyta; Magnoliopsida; Malpighiales; Euphorbiaceae
Source: RNAcentral
UUGGCGGGGGAAGAUUGUUAUAAAUAUUGAGCAUUGCUUGCCAUCAUCUUCACAACAACAUUCCAUCCUCUUACACUCAAAAACACCAAACCAGAAUACCAAAAAUGGCCGAACGAGUUCUCUUUGAUAUUGCUGGGGAGAUCAUUCAGAAGCUGGGUUCUCGAGCCCUGCAAGAGAUUGGAGUGUGGUGGGGUGUCAAAGAUGAGCUUCAGAAACUCGAAGGCACAGUCUCCAGAAUUCGGGCUGUACUUCUUGAUGCUGAGAAGAAGUCGGCCCUAAACGAACAAGUCAAAGAUUGGCUUGGAAAGCUUCAAGAAAUUGUUUAUGAUGCUGAUGACUUGAUAGAUGACUUUGCCACUGAAGCUUUGCAGCGCCAAGUGAUGACUGGAAAUAGAAUGACAAAGGAGGUAAGCCUUUUCUUUUCUUCUUCGAAUCGGCUUGUUUAUGGUUUUAAGAUGGGUCAUAAAAUUAAGGCGAUUAGGGAGAGACUAGAUGCCAUUGACGAAGAUAGGAAAAAGUAUGGACUUCACCAUGUGGAGCGUCCAGAGGCGUCAUUUUAUAGUAGGAGAAGGGACCAAACUUUCUCAUAUGUAGAUGAGAAACAAGUCAUUGGGAGGGAAAAUGAUAGAAAGGCAAUCAUAGAUCUUUUGUUGGACUCUAAUAUUGCAGAUAAUGUUUCAGUCAUUCCCAUUGUUGGGAUGGGUGGGUUAGGAAAGACCACAUUAGCUCAAUAUGUUUUUGGCGAUGAAAACGUCAAAACUCAUUUUGAGCUGAAGCUGUGGGUUUGUGUCUCUGAAGUCUUUGAUCUAAAAGUAGUAGUAGAAAAGACAUUGAAAUCAAUUGGAAGGGAACCCGGAAACUUUGAAUUGGAUCAAUUGCAAACAAAUCUUCGAGAAGAAAUCAGGGGAAAGAAAUAUUUGUUAGUGUUG